This 112-nucleotide non-coding RNA is filed under the name Flagellimonas taeanensis. RNAcentral describes it as "Muricauda antarctica SAM-I sequence". It matches the Rfam family "SAM riboswitch aptamer (S box leader)". From Rfam's summary of the family: The SAM riboswitch is found upstream of a number of genes which code for proteins involved in methionine or cysteine biosynthesis in Gram-positive bacteria. The SAM riboswitch acts at the level of transcription termination control. Lineage: Bacteria; Pseudomonadati; Bacteroidota; Flavobacteriia; Flavobacteriales; Flavobacteriaceae. The record is from RNAcentral.
CUGUUAUCAAGAAAGGUGGAGGGAUUGGACCCUGCGAAGCCUUAGCAACCCUCGACUUCCGAGAAGGUGCUACAUUCUACCCUUAUCCUGAAUCGUUAUCGGGAAGGUACGG